Molecule: non-coding RNA, 93 nt
Organism: Gymnopus androsaceus JB14
Lineage: Eukaryota; Fungi; Basidiomycota; Agaricomycetes; Agaricales; Omphalotaceae
Source: the annotation of a GenBank genome assembly
GGGCAUGUAAUGUAGAGGUUAUUGCAUCCACUUUGAACAACCACUUGGUAACCGUGAUGUGGAAGGUCUCUGGUUCAAUUCCAGACUUGUCCA